GCGCUCGUAGCUCAGCUGGAUAGAGCUGGUGGUAUGGUAGCCCCGAGGUCGCAGGUUCGAAUCCUGUCGAGCGCUCCA
This 78-nucleotide transfer RNA is filed under the name Rhizobium leguminosarum. Its description in RNAcentral is "tRNA-OTHER". It matches the Rfam family "tRNA". From Rfam's summary of the family: Transfer RNA (tRNA) molecules are approximately 80 nucleotides in length. Their secondary structure includes four short double-helical elements and three loops (D, anti-codon, and T loops). Lineage: Bacteria; Pseudomonadati; Pseudomonadota; Alphaproteobacteria; Hyphomicrobiales; Rhizobiaceae. RNAcentral also lists the same sequence under 1 other name. The record is from RNAcentral.